AACGAACGCUGGCGGCAUGCCUAACACAUGCAAGUCGAGCGAGACCUUCGGGUCUAGUGGCGCACGGGUGCGUAACGCGUGGGAACCUGCCCUUAGGUUCGGAAUAACUCCCCGAAAGGGGUGCUAAUACCGGAUAAUGUCUUCGGACCAAAGAUUUAUCGCCUUUGGAUGGGCCCGCGUUGGAUUAGCUAGUUGGUAGGGUAAAAGCCUACCAAGGCGACGAUCCAUAGCUGGUCUGAGAGGAUGAUCAGCCACACUGGGACUGAGACACGGCCCAGACUCCUCCGGGAGGCAGCAGGGGGGAAUAUUGGACAAGGGCGAAAGCCUGAUCCAGCAAUGCCGCGUGAGUGAUGGAGGCCUUAGGGUUGUAAAGCUCUUUUACCCGGGAUGAUAAUGACAGUACCGGGAGAAUAAGCUCCGGCUAACUCUGUG
RNAcentral lists this ribosomal RNA (432 nucleotides) under uncultured bacterium. Its description in RNAcentral is "partial 16S ribosomal RNA". It matches the Rfam family "Bacterial small subunit ribosomal RNA", at positions 29 to 507 of the family's 1533-position model. The record is from RNAcentral.